UUUUAAAAAAUUAAUAAAAAUUAGUUUGGUAAAAAAUUUAUAAUAAUUAAAUUAAUAUAAAAGAUAAAAUGUUUUAGUAGUAUUAAGAAUAAAUUAUAUUAAUUAUAAAGAUAAGUAAUGAAAAUGAAAAUUAUAAAAAUUAAAAAAGAAAUUUAAUAAUUUACCUUUUGUAUCAGGGAUGAUUAAAUAUAUUUUAUUAAUAAAAUAAAAUUCUCGAAUUUUAAAGAUUGAAUUAAAAAUUUUAGUUAAUGUUGAAUAAUUAUUAAGAAUUUUUAAUUGGAAAUGAAAUAUUAAUCGUUUUAAAUGAUAUCUAGUUUUUUUAGAAAUGAAUUUAAUUCAGUUAGUAAAUGAGAAUAUUUAUAAUUAUAAGUAUAAAUAUUUAUAGUUUAUUAAUAAAUAUUUUUGGGAUAAUCUAAAAAUAAUAAUAAUAAUUUUAAAGUUAAUUAAAUUGGUCAAAUAAUAUUUAUAGUAAUAGAAAUUUUUAAUAAAUAUGUUAUAAUUUAUUAUUAGUAGUAAAAUGAUUUAAAUUUAAAAAUUUUGUAAUUAAAUAAAAAAAAUAAUUAUAAUAAAAAAUAAUUUAGGUAUAAUGAUUAUAUUAGUAGAAAAAAAAUGUUUAAAUGAUUAAAUUUAUGAAAAUUUAAUUAAAAGAAUUCGACAAAAAUUUUAUCCACCUGUUUAUCAAAAACAUCGCUUAUAGAUUAUAAUUAUAAGUCUAUUCUGCCCUAUGAAGUAAAAUUUGAAUGGCUGCGGUAUACUGACCGUACUAAGGUAGCAAAGUAAAUAGUUUUUUAAUUGGAAGCUGGUAUGAAAGAAUUGAUGAGAUAGAAAUUGUUUCUAAUUAAAAUAUUGAAUUUAGAUUUUGAGUAAAAAUACUUAAAUGAAUUUAUAAGACGAGAAGACCCUAUAGAAUUUUAUAAAAUUAUUUUAAUUUACGUUUAUUUGUAAUUAAAUCUAAUUAAGAUAUUAUAUUUGAUUGGGAGGAUUAUUAAAAUAAAAGAACUUUAAUAUUAUAGAGACAUUAAUUAAUGAAUAAAGGAUUAUUAUUAUAAUUAUAAGAAUAAAUUACCUUAGGGAUAACAGCGUAAUAUUUUUGGAGAGAUCAUAUUGAUAAAAAUGUUUGCGACCUCGAUGUUGAAUUAUGAUAAAAUUUAAAUGCAGGAGUUUAAAUAGUUAGUCUGUUCGACUAUUAAAAUCAUACAUGAUUUGAGUUCAAAUCGGCGUGAGCCAGAUUGGUUUCUAUCUAUAAAAAAAUAAUAUUUUAUUGUACGAAAGGACUUAAAAUAUAAAAAAGUUUUUUAAUAAAAAUUGAAUAAUAUUAAUUUAAGUUAUAUAAGAAAAUUUAGUUUAUAGUGAUAUUAUAAAUAUUAA
RNAcentral lists this ribosomal RNA (1368 nucleotides) under Abispa ephippium (large potter wasp). Its description in RNAcentral is "large subunit ribosomal RNA". The record is from RNAcentral. Lineage: Eukaryota; Metazoa; Arthropoda; Insecta; Hymenoptera; Vespidae.